CCCUUAGAUGUUCUGGGCCGCACGCGCGCUACACUGAUUCAUGCAACAAGUUUUGUCCUUGGCUGAUAGGCCUGGGUAAUCUUUGAACGUGAAUCGUGAUGGGGAUAGAUGAUUGCAAUUAUUCAUCUUCAACGAGGAAUUCCUAGUAAACGCAAGUCAUCAGCUUGCAUUGAUUACGUCCCUGCCCUUUGUACACACCGCCCGUCGCACCUACCGAUUGAAUGGUCCGGUGAAAUCUCCGGACUGGCGUGAGUCGGAGCAAUCUGACAAACACCGGAAAGUUGAUUAAACCUUACCAUUUAGAGGAAGGUGAANUCGUANCA
Molecule: ribosomal RNA, 323 nt
Filed under: uncultured eukaryote
Lineage: Eukaryota
Description: partial 18S ribosomal RNA
Rfam family: Eukaryotic small subunit ribosomal RNA
Source: RNAcentral